This 796-nucleotide ribosomal RNA is filed under the name uncultured Methanosarcina sp. Its description in RNAcentral is "bacterial SSU rRNA". It matches the Rfam family "Archaeal small subunit ribosomal RNA", at positions 85 to 879 of the family's 1478-position model. Lineage: Archaea; Methanobacteriati; Methanobacteriota; Methanomicrobia; Methanosarcinales; Methanosarcinaceae. The record is from RNAcentral.
ACGGCUCAGUAACACGUGGAUAACCUGCCCUUGGGACCGGCAUAACCCCGGGAAACUGGGGAUAAUUCCGGAUAACGCAUAUGUGCUGGAAUGCUUUAUGCGUAAAAUGGAUUCGUCUGCCCAAGGAUGGGUCUGCGGCCUAUCAGGUAGUAGUGGGUGUAAUGUACCUACUAGCCGACAACGGGUACGGGUUGUGAGAGCAAGAGCCCGGAGAUGGAUUCUGAGACAUGAAUCCAGGCCCUACGGGGCGCAGCAGGCGCGAAAACUUUACAAUGCGGGAAACCGUGAUAAGGGGACACCGAGUGUCAGCAUCAUAUGCUGGCUGUCCGGGUGUGUAAAAUACACCCGUUAGCAAGGGCCGGGCAAGACCGGUGCCAGCCGCCGCGGUAACACCGGCGGCCCGAGUGGUGAUCGUGAUUAUUGGGUCUAAAGGGUCCGUAGCCGGUUUGGUCAGUCCUCCGGGAAAUCUGAUAGCUCAACUAUUAGGCUAUCGGGGGAUACUACCAGACUUGGAACCGGGAGAGGUAAGAGGUACUACAGGGGUAGGAGUGAAAUCUUGUAAUCCCUGUGGGACCACCUGUGGCGAAGGCGUCUUACCAGAACGGGUUCGACGGUGAGGGACGAAAGCUGGGGGCACGAACCGGAUUAGAUACCCGGGUAGUCCCAGCCGUAAACGAUGCUCGCUAGGUGUCAGGCAUGGCGCGACCGUGUCUGGUGCCGCAGGGAAGCCGUGAAGCGAGCCACCUGGGAAGUACGGCCGCAAGGCUGAAACUUAAAGGAAUUGGCGGGGGAGCAC